CCCAAGCUUGAUAGCAGUGGCUCAGCAGUUUACUGCUUUCCUGGGAAAAGCAGGAGAAUCUCAAUUCUAACCCUGCCGCUUCCUAACUGAGUGAGACCUUGGUCAAUUUUUAAAAAGCAAAAUCACAAACGAAAGCACAAAAAUGUUAAAAAUGUGACACUAAACAGACCAUGUAAAGGACACAUGUUGACAAAAUGAGGGUAGAAACAGAAAGGUAGAGUGUUGCCUUCUUUGACCUCAGUUGGAGAUAUACACCUCAGUAGAAUCAAAUUUUUUCUCCUCUCUGUGCUAGUCUGGGAAUGACUGUGAAAGUGUACAGUGAGUAUCGAUUUUGGGGUCACAAAUACACUUAAGCAAGUAGGCAAAUUCGCAAAAUAGAAUCUGCAAAAAAAAAAAAACAAGGAUGAACUAUAUCAGACCCUGAAGUAAGAGACUAUUUUGAAGAAGAAAGACAUGGUAAAAAGAGCACCGAAAGCUUAAAUGAGAUGAGAUAAAGUCAAGUCUGAAAUAGGCUUUUAAUUUUUUAAAAAGGCGAGCCCUUUACUAGCUACAUGACCUUCGGCACAUCAGUUAGUUAAUCAUGUGGGAUUCAUCUAUAAAAGGUGAGAAAUUGACUAAAAAAUUUUAACGUACUUCUGAGAGUCCAGCUAUCUAUAGAUGAUUUUCAGUAACCAAGUUAACUGAUUAACAUCCAGGAUUGUGAGGUGAUUCACCAAUUUCACUCUUCUUCAUAAGGUUUCACAUUUCUAUGAGAAGGAGGUUGAGGAGGAUCUGUCUCCGCUCUCCCCAAAUCCCAGCAACCCAGAAAUUGGCUCCCUAUGGACAGCAAGAACAGAGGCAGAUGCUGCAGCCAUCACUCCAGGGUCCAGAAAUGUGUUGUAAACUGCACAGCUUAAAGGUCUCAUCCGUAUUUUCAUCUAUGGCUUGCUUCUCCAUUUCAUUCACAAAGAUGUUGGGAGAGAUGUAAACACCCGAGUAGACUAUGCACACCACAGUCCCCCUGCUCUACCAAGCUACUUUUCUUCUGGCGAAUGGCUCAACCCCAGCUCUUAUUGCUCAUUGCCAUUUUUCUGUAAGUAUUCACAAACAAUACAAGUCAUUCAUUCUAGAUUUUCAUUAAAACAAAAAACAACACUUUAAAAUAAAAGCUUUCUACUCUC
Long non-coding RNA from Homo sapiens (human), 1160 nucleotides. RefSeq lists it as uncharacterized. The transcript is spliced from 3 exons. The record is from RefSeq and is a predicted model, not a curated record. Lineage: Eukaryota; Metazoa; Chordata; Mammalia; Primates; Hominidae.